RNAcentral lists this ribosomal RNA (1489 nucleotides) under metagenome. RNAcentral describes it as "bacterial SSU rRNA". It matches the Rfam family "Bacterial small subunit ribosomal RNA". The record is from RNAcentral.
UUUGAUCCUGGCUCAGAUUGAACGCUGGCGGCAUGCCUUACACAUGCAAGUCGAACGGCAGCACGGGAGCAAUCCUGGUGGCGAGUGGCGAACGGGUGAGUAAUACAUCGGAACGUGCCCAAUCGUGGGGGAUAACGCAGCGAAAGCUGUGCUAAUACCGCAUAAGAUCUACGGAUGAAAGCAGGGGAUCGCAAGACCUUGCGCGAAUGGAGCGGCCGAUGGCAGAUUAGGUAGUUGGUGAGGUGAAGGCUCACCAAGCCUUCGAUCUGUAGCUGGUCUGAGAGGACGACCAGCCACACUGGGACUGAGACACGGCCCAGACUCCUACGGGAGGCAGCAGUGGGGAAUUUUGGACAAUGGGCGCAAGCCUGAUCCAGCCAUGCCGCGUGCAGGAUGAAGGCCUUCGGGUUGUAAACUGCUUUUGUACGGAACGAAACGGCUCUUUCUAAUAAAGAGGGCUAAUGACGGUACCGUAAGAAUAAGCACCGGCUAACUACGUGCCAGCAGCCGCGGUAAUACGUAGGGUGCAAGCGUUAAUUGGAAUUACUGGGCGUAAAGCGUGCGCAGGCGGUGAUGUAAGACAGUUGUGAAAUCCCCGGGCUCAACCUGGGAACUGCAUCUGUGACUGCAUCGCUGGAGUGCGGCAGAGGGGGAUGGAAUUCCGCGUGUAGCAGUGAAAUGCGUAGAUAUGCGGAGGAACACCGAUGGCGAAGGCAAUCCCCUGGGCCUGCACUGACGCUCAUGCACGAAAGCGUGGGGAGCAAACAGGAUUAGAUACCCUGGUAGUCCACGCCCUAAACGAUGUCAACUGGUUGUUGGGUCUUCACUGACUCAGUAACGAAGCUAACGCGUGAAGUUGACCGCCUGGGGAGUACGGCCGCAAGGUUGUAACUCAAAGGAAUUGACGGGGACCCGCACAAGCGGUGGAUGAUGUGGUUUAAUUCGAUGCAACGCGAAAAACCUUACCCACCUUUGACAUGUACGGAAUUUGCCAGAGAUGGCUUAGUGCUCGAAAGAGAGCCGUAACACAGGUGCUGCAUGGCUGUCGUCAGCUCGUGUCGUGAGAUGUUGGGUUAAGUCCCGCAACGAGCGCAACCCUUGUCAUUAGUUGCUACAUUUAGUUGGGCACUCUAGUGAGACUGCCGGUGACAAACCGGAGGAAGGUGGGGAUGACGUCAAGUCCUCAUGGCCCUUAUAGGUGGGGCUACACACUUCAUACAAUGGCUGGUACAAAGGGUUGCCAACCCGCGAGGGGGAGCUAAUCCCAUAAAACCAGUCGUAGUCCGGAUCGCAGUCUGCAACUCGACUGCGUGAAGUCGGAAUCGCUAGUAAUCGUGGAUCAGAAUGUCACGGUGAAUACGUUCCCGGGUCUUGUACACACCGCCCGUCACACCAUGGGAGCGGGUUCUGCCAGAAGUAGUUAGCCUAACCGCAAGGAGGGCGAUUACCACGGCAGGGUUCGUGACUGGGGUGAAGUCGUAACAAGGUA